RNAcentral lists this non-coding RNA (888 nucleotides) under Allobates sp. MTD47884. Its description in RNAcentral is "partial 12S ribosomal RNA". It matches the Rfam family "Bacterial small subunit ribosomal RNA". The record is from RNAcentral. Lineage: Eukaryota; Metazoa; Chordata; Amphibia; Anura; Aromobatidae.
CUUGAAAUCAGUUAUUACUUAAAUUACACAUGCAAGUCUCCGCACCCCCGUGAGAACGUCCUUAUAUCCCUUAUAGGGAUUAGGAGCUGGUAUCAGGAACAUAAAAUGCCCAAGACACCUAGCCUCGCCACACCCACAAGGGUCCUCAGCAGUGAUUAACAUUGACUAUAAGCGACAGCUUGACUCAGUUAAAUUAUAUAGAGCCGGCCAAUUUGCGUGCCAGCCGCCGCGGCUAAACCAGAAGCUCAAACUGAUCUCUAUCGGCGUAAAGCGUGAUUUAAGCAAUCAACCCAUUGGAAUUAAAUUUAAACUGGGCCGUGAUAUGCCUGUAUUUAAGAAAUCCAUAAACGAAAGUUAUUCCAAUUAUAUCCACUUGAAUUCACGACAACUGAGACACAAACUGGGAUUAGGUACCCCACUAUGCUCAGUCGUAAACUUUAAAUUACAUCCUACUCGCCCGGGAACUACGAGCUAAGCUUAAAACCCAAAGGACUUGACGGUGCCCCACAUCCACCUAGAGGAGCCUGUCCUAUAAUCGAUGAUCCACGUUUAACCUCACCAUUUUUAGCUUAUUCAGCCUGUAUACCUCCGUCGCCAGCUUACCACGUGAGCGCCAGUGAGUUCAAUGUUUAUUCAACAAUACGUCAGGUCAAGGUGCAGCUUAUAAAAUGGGAAGAGAUGGGCUACAGUUUCUAAUAUAGACCACACGGAAGACUAAUUAUGAAAUCUAGUCGGAAGGCGGAUUUAGCAGUAAAUAGGAAUCAAAAAAUCCUUUUUAAUUCGGCCCUGGGGUGUGUACACACCGCCCGUCACCCUCCUCUAAUACUAUUAAUGCAGUUUUCAACAAAAUUUAACCUUCUAGAAGAGGCAAGUCGUAACAUGGUAAGU